RNAcentral lists this ribosomal RNA (1404 nucleotides) under uncultured organism. Its description in RNAcentral is "bacterial SSU rRNA". It matches the Rfam family "Bacterial small subunit ribosomal RNA". The record is from RNAcentral.
GGCGUGCUUACACAUGCAAGUAAGGGGAACGAUCUGCUUCGGCGGAUCAGUAUACUGGCGGACGGGUGAGUAACGCGUAGGCAACCUGCCCUUGUACCUGGGAUAGCAUGGAGAAAUUGGUGCUAAUACCGGAUGUUGUCUUGUAUACGCCUGUAUAUGAGAUAAAAGGUGCUUUUGUACUGUACAGGGAUGGGCCUGCGUUCCAUUAGUUAGUUGAUGAGGUAACGGCUCACCAAGGCGACGAUGGAUAGCUGAUCUGAGAGGGUGAUCAGCCACACUGGGACUGAGAUACGGCGCGAGACUCCUACGGGAGGCAGCAGUGAGGAAUAUUGCGCAAUGGAGGUAACUCUGACGCAGCAACGCCGCGUGGGGGAUGAAGCACUAUGGUGUGUAAACCCCUGUAGGUAGGGACGAACGGCAUAUAUUCGUAAGGGUAUGUGUGUGACGGUACCUAUAAAGUAAGCACCGGCUAACUCCGUGCCAGCAGCCGCGGUAAUACGGGGGGUGCGAGCGUUGUCCGGAAUUACUGGGCGUAAAGGGCGUGUAGGCGGUGCGGACAGUCAGAUGUGAAGGGCUCCGGCUUAACCGGGGAAUGGCAUUUGAAACUGCCGUACUUGAGUGCGAGAGGGGGUAGUGGAAUUCCCAGUGUAGCGGUGAAAUGCGUAGAUAUUGGGAAGAACACCAGUAGCGAAGGCGGCUACCUGGCCCGCAACUGACGCUAAGGCGCGAAAGCGUGGGGAGCAAACAGGAUUAGAUACCCUGGUAGUCCACGCUGUAAACGAUGGGUACUAGGUGUUGGUUGGUCGUAGACCGAUCAGUGCCGGAGCGAACGCAUUAAGUACCCCGCCUGGGGAGUACGAUCGCAAGGUUGAAACUCAAAGGAAUUGACGGGGGCCCGCACAAGCGGUGGAGCAUGUGGUUUAAUUCGAUGCAACGCGAAGAACCUUACCGGGGUUUGACAUGUCGGCGGCGCCUAUAGAGAUAUAGGUUUCCUUCGGGACGUUGACACAGGUGCUGCAUGGCUGUCGUCAGCUCGUGUCGUGAGAUGUUGGGUUAAGUCCCGCAACGAGCGCAACCCUUGUCCCUAGUUGCCAGCGAGUCGUGUCGGGGACUCUAGGGAGACUGCUGGUGAUAAACCAGAGGAAGGUGGGGAUGACGUCAAGUCAUCAUGGCCCUUACAUCCCGGGCUACACACGUGCUACAAUGGUCGGUACAACGAGUGGCGAGGUCGCGAGUCCAAGCUAAUCUCUAAAAACCGAUCUCAGUUCGGAUUGCAGUCUGCAACUCGACUGCAUGAAGUCGGAAUCGCUAGUCCUCGCGGAUCAGCAUGCCGCGGUGAUACGUUCCCGGGCCUUGUACACACCGCCCGUCACGCCAUGGGAGUCGGCAGUACCCGAAGCCGGU